RNAcentral lists this ribosomal RNA (610 nucleotides) under Phialocephala sp. Sib5-4-5. RNAcentral's name for it is "eukaryotic LSU rRNA". The stretch from base 251 to 404 matches the Rfam family "5.8S ribosomal RNA". Lineage: Eukaryota; Fungi; Ascomycota; Leotiomycetes; Helotiales; Mollisiaceae. The record is from RNAcentral.
UUAGAGGAAGUAAAAGUCGUAACAAGGUUUCCGUAGGUGAACCUGCGGAAGGAUCAUUAAUCAGUGGAUCCGGCGGGGAAUCCCCUCUCCCCCGAGAGGGGGUCGCCUCGCCGGGUAGACCUCCACCCGUGCUUACCUACUCUUGUUGCUUUGGCGGGCCGUGGCCUCCACUACGGGCUCUGCUCGUACGUGCCCGCCAGAGGACCAAACUCUGAAUAUUAGUGAUGUCUGAGAACUAUUUAAUAGUUAAAACUUUCAACAACGGAUCUCUUGGUUCUGGCAUCGAUGAAGAACGCAGCGAAAUGCGAUAAGUAAUGUGAAUUGCAGAAUUCAGUGAAUCAUCGAAUCUUUGAACGCACAUUGCGCCCUGUGGUAUUCCGCAGGGCAUGCCUGUUCGAGCGUCAUUUAGACCACUCACGCCUGGCGUGGUGUUGGGGCACGCGGUUCCGCGGCCCUCAAAAUCAGUGGCGGCGCCGGUAGGCCCUAAGCGUAGUAAAUCUCCUCGCUAUAGGGUCCUCUCGGUGGCUCGCCAGAACCCCCAACUUCUUAAGGUUGACCUCGGAUCAGGUAGGGAUACCCGCUGAACUUAAGCAUAUCAAUAAGCGGAGGA